This 396-nucleotide ribosomal RNA is filed under the name uncultured soil bacterium. RNAcentral describes it as "bacterial SSU rRNA". It matches the Rfam family "Bacterial small subunit ribosomal RNA", at positions 26 to 449 of the family's 1533-position model. The record is from RNAcentral.
AGAACGAACGCUGGCGGCAUGCCUAAUACAUGCAAGUCGAACGAUCACUUCGGUGUUAGUGGCGCACGGGUGCGUAACGCGUGGGAAUCUGCCCUUGGGUUCGGAAUAACAGUUGGAAACGACUGCUAAUACCGGAUGAUAUCGAAAGAUCAAAGAUUUAUCGCCCAGGGAUGAGCCCGCGUAGGAUUAGCUAGUUGGUGAGGUAAAGGCUCACCAAGGCGACGAUCCUUAGCUGGUCUGAGAGGAUGAUCAGCCACACUGGGACUGAGACACGGCCCAGACUCCUACGGGAGGCAGCAGUAGGGAAUAUUGGACAAUGGGCGCAAGCCUGAUCCAGCAAUGACCGCGUGAGUGAUGAAGGCCGUUAGGGUGUAAAGCUCUUUACCGAGAUGAUAA